GAUGAAGAACGUAGCGAAAUGCGAUACUUGGUGUGAAUUGCAGAAUCCCGUGAACCAUCGAGUCUUUGAACGCAAGUUGCGCCCGAAGCCAUUAGGCCGAGGGCACGCCUGCCUGGGCGUCACACGUCGUUGCCCCCCCAUCUAAUCCUUCGGGAUUGCGGGGGGCGGAUGAUGGCCUCCCGUGCGCCUCGUCGCGCGGUUGGCAUAAAUGCCAAGUCCUCGGCGACGCACGCCACGACAAUCGGUGGUUGCGAAACCUCGGUUGCCCGUCGUGUGCGGUCGUCGCGCAUCGAGGGCUCGAAAAAAUUGCCGGGCUCCGGCUCGACUUUCAACGCGACCCCAGGUCAGGCGGGGUUAACCGCUGAAUUUAAGCAUAUCAAUAAGCGGAGGA
RNAcentral lists this unclassified non-coding RNA (391 nucleotides) under soil metagenome. RNAcentral's name for it is "partial contains 5.8S ribosomal RNA, internal transcribed spacer 2, and large subunit ribosomal RNA". The stretch from base 1 to 122 matches the Rfam family "5.8S ribosomal RNA", at positions 35 to 154 of the family's 154-position model. The record is from RNAcentral.